RNAcentral lists this long non-coding RNA (939 nucleotides) under Brassica napus (rape). RNAcentral's name for it is "long non-coding RNA (BNAP_LNC024867)". Lineage: Eukaryota; Viridiplantae; Streptophyta; Magnoliopsida; Brassicales; Brassicaceae. The record is from RNAcentral.
GGUAAAGAUAAAAGUUGAUGUACAUUAACGUUGAAAACGCAAUAUACGCACCGUAUGAAGAUAACAACAAAAUCAAAUCACACUGCUAUAUAUACAUAUAUGUGAUUAAGAAAUGUUAACAAUUCUUAAUCACAAUAUACAUUUCUUAAUCACAAUUGAUUAACAUUUGAUUUCAAACGAGUUUAUCUCUCUCUCUCGAAUGGAUUAAAUGGUCAAAAUAUCACGAGAUAAGGAAAGACUCUUUUAUUUCUUUAUGACUUAAGAAAUGUUUAUUGUACUACAACCAACACCACACUUUUGUUUAACGCAUAAAUAUGCAUUUGAUUUUUCUAUAUAAUAUCAUUGAAAUAUAAUAUGAUUCAAAAUCCACUCACAUCUAGUAAAUACUAAACUUUACUCCAAACCUCGACUUCUAAAUAUUAAACCUUAAACUUUAAACAUCGCCCUUCCAUCUAAAUACUAAACCCUAAACCCUAAUUACUGAACCUAAACCCAAAUAUAAACCUUAAAUCCAAUUGUCAAAAUCUGAAAAUAGUAUAUAAUAUUAUGUAAUAUUAAACUAAAUCCAAACCUAAUUUUUGAAUAGUAUAGGACUCCAAUCCAACACACAACUCCUCAAUGCUAAACUCAAACCUAACUUUUGAAUACUAAACCCAAAAAUGCUAUCACUAAACCCAAACCUAAACUCCCACCUUCCAAAUACUAAACUCUAAAUCCUAAUCACUAAACCCUAAACUCAAAUAUAGACUCUAAACCCAAAUAGAAUGGAACAAAAUACAUAGUAUAUUACAAAUUGGUGAGCAAAAUAGAACACUCUUUAUUAAUCGUCAAAUGGAACAUACAUAAUACGGUCACUAAACCCAAACCUCAACCCCCACCUUCCAAAUACUAAACCCUAAAUCUUAAUCACUAAACCCUAAACUAAAGUAUAAACUCUAA